Molecule: transfer RNA, 66 nt
Filed under: Lachnobacterium bovis
Lineage: Bacteria; Bacillati; Bacillota; Clostridia; Lachnospirales; Lachnospiraceae
Also listed under: 1 other name
Rfam family: tRNA
About the family: Transfer RNA (tRNA) molecules are approximately 80 nucleotides in length. Their secondary structure includes four short double-helical elements and three loops (D, anti-codon, and T loops).
Source: RNAcentral
UUGAUAGCUCAGUUGGUAGAGCAACGGACUGAAAAUCCGUGUGUCGCCGGUUCGAUUCCUGCUCAA